RNAcentral lists this long non-coding RNA (276 nucleotides) under Coturnix japonica (Japanese quail). RNAcentral describes it as "lncRNA (ENSCJPG00005005770.1)". Lineage: Eukaryota; Metazoa; Chordata; Aves; Galliformes; Phasianidae. The record is from RNAcentral.
GUGACUGAUUACUUUAAGCUUUCUUAAUUGAUUGACUGUGGGAUUUCUGUGAAGGAGUUGUUCUGGCACAGAGUCCACACAAUUGUUUCAAUUCUGGGAAUAACUUGCAAGGGCGGAGAAUUUACCAUGAAGAUCUUGGUGACCUGACAAAUCCUAAUAGCAGAGACUUAAAGUGGGCUGGAAGGACUGCUGUAUAGAGGUCCUUACAACUUCCUAAAGUGGGCUGAUCUUAAGCAGGUCAUCGGAAAAGAUGCCAUUGUCCUAGCUACAAAAAUU